UUGCUGUGAUGACAAUCUUAGGACACCUUUGGAUUAACCAUGAAAUAACUCAUGUUCUGAGCAAC
This is a small nucleolar RNA of Perognathus longimembris pacificus (Pacific pocket mouse), 65 nucleotides long. RefSeq annotates it as small nucleolar RNA SNORD58. The transcript has a single exon. The record is from RefSeq and is a predicted model, not a curated record. Lineage: Eukaryota; Metazoa; Chordata; Mammalia; Rodentia; Heteromyidae.